UUAGGAAUCUUGCGCAAUGGCCGAAAGGCUGACGCAGCAACGCCGCGUGGAGGAAGAAGGCCCUCGGGUCGUAAACUCCUUUUCUGAGGGAAGAUAAUGACGGUACCUCAGGAAUAAGCCCCGGCUAACUACGUGCCAGCAGCCGCGGUAAUACGUAGGGGGCGAGCGUUGUCCGGAUUUACUGGGCGUAAAGGGCGCGUAGGCGGCAUGCCAAGUCGUGCGUGAAAGGCCCCGGCUCAACCGGGGAGGGUCGUGCGAUACUGGCAAGCUCGAGGCCGGCAGGGGGAAGUGGAAUUCCCGGUGUAGUGGUGGAAUGCGUAGAUAUCGGGAGGAACACCAGUGGCGAAGGCGGCUUCCUGGACCGGUCCUGACGCUGAGGCGCGAAAGCGUGGGGAGCGAACUGA
Molecule: ribosomal RNA, 404 nt
Filed under: uncultured bacterium
Lineage: Bacteria
Description: bacterial SSU rRNA
Rfam family: Bacterial small subunit ribosomal RNA
Source: RNAcentral